UGGAACUUCGAGAAUUCAAACGAGAUUUUUCCAUUCUCUCCAACGAAACUUUCUAUAACAGGAACGGUUUGCAAUGCAAGAUUUAUUCUUCGAUUCGUGUGCCAACAUUCUUUAAUAGGAAUGAACCAGGAUUAACUAGAGUUUCAUGUAACGAAUUCUUCUUGCCUUUACUCGCAUAUCCUCAACACCUUUGGACAAUGAUUAAUAAAUAACUGGUACCGUUCGUGCAUCAGGAUCAAGGUCGCAGAAAAUUUUGAUGCAACACGCGAUGCAUUUGCAGAAAAUCCGAGAGCCGUGGGAAGUAAGGAGAUGGAACUAAGAGGAUGAAAAAUGAAGAUCGCGUUACACGAAGUGUACAAAAAGUGAUUCGGGCUUCUCGAUUCGAUUGAUCGAUCGACGUGAUGUUGGAAUGGAAAAAGAGAGAAAGAUUUCGAAGUGAAGGAAAAGAGGCCUUUCAAAUAGACAAGCGAAACCUCGUUUAUCUUUCCUUUUUAUAUUUUUCAUUCUACUAGCGAGAUACUAUAGAGAAGUGAAAGACAAAUUAAAAUUUAAUUUCUUGGUUAUUCAAGAUGUUAGAUUAAUUUUCUCUCUUUAGAAAUAUUCUUUACUCUGGUUUAAUAUUACAAGGUUUGAUACAAAACAAUUAUGAAAUUGCUGCUACUAUGAUAUUAUCGCAACGCCCAAGCAAAUAGAAAGAAAAAGGUCUCACAACUCGAGUGAUUGACAUGUUAUUCAUACAAUAUUGUAAGAAAAAUUGAUGUUAAAACGAUCAUUAAAAUACAAUGUAUAGGCACACACGUGAUAGGUAUGUAAAUCGAUGUAACACGGAAAACUAUGUUUUAAGUAGUGUGUUAAUUAUCUACGUCUUUUCCGUUACCACAGACUUAUAUAGUAUUUUAGAUUAUUUAAUAAUUCUAUUUGCUGUAAUAAAUCGUGUACGACUAUUUUUGAUAUUAAAAUUAACACGCAAUAUGACAAAUCUA
Bombus pascuorum is the source of this 983-nucleotide long non-coding RNA. RefSeq lists it as uncharacterized. Lineage: Eukaryota; Metazoa; Arthropoda; Insecta; Hymenoptera; Apidae. The record is from RefSeq and is a predicted model, not a curated record. The transcript is spliced from 2 exons.